RNAcentral lists this ribosomal RNA (253 nucleotides) under uncultured bacterium. RNAcentral's name for it is "partial 16S ribosomal RNA". It matches the Rfam family "Bacterial small subunit ribosomal RNA", at positions 524 to 776 of the family's 1533-position model. The record is from RNAcentral.
GACGAAGGGAGCUAGCGUUGUUCGGAAUCACUGGGCGUAAAGGGCGCGUAGGCGGCUUUAUAAGUCGGGGGUGAAAGCCUGUGGCUCAACCACAGAAUUGCCUUCGAUACUGUAGAGCUUGAGACCGGAAGAGGUAAGUGGAACUGCGAGUGUAGAGGUGAAAUUCGUAGAUAUUCGCAAGAACACCAGUGGCGAAGGCGGCUUACUGGUCCGGUUCUGACGCUGAGGCGCGAAAGCGUGGGGAGCAAACAGG